Molecule: small nucleolar RNA, 215 nt
Organism: Phyllostomus discolor (pale spear-nosed bat)
Lineage: Eukaryota; Metazoa; Chordata; Mammalia; Chiroptera; Phyllostomidae
Product: small nucleolar RNA U3
Exons: 1
Source: RefSeq, a predicted model, not a curated record
AAGACUAUACUUUCAGGAAUCAUUUCUAUAGUUUGUUACUAGAGAAGUUUCUCUGAAUGUGUAGAGUACCUGAAACCACAGAAGGGGAUGGAGUGUUUUCUCCUGAGUGUGAAGUUGGCUCUUGGUGUUGCUUUGAUAACUGCUAUUUGCUGUUGAUAAUCACUCUUCUCUCUCUUCUGAGGGAGUAAGUAGGAGCAGACACCCAUCUGAGUGGU